GACGUAGGAGGCGAGCGUUGUCCGGAUUCAUUGGGCGUAAAGAGCGCGCAGGCGGCUUGGUAAGUCGGAUGUGAAAACCCGAGGCUCAACCUCGGGCGUGCAUCCGAAACUGCUCGGCUAGAGGUAGGUAGGGGAGAUCGGAAUUCCUGGUGUAGCGGUGAAAUGCGCAGAUAUCAGGAGGAACACCGGUGGCGAAGGCGGAUCUCUGGGCCUUACCUGACGCUCAGGCGCGAAAGCUAGGGGAGCGAACGGG
RNAcentral lists this ribosomal RNA (253 nucleotides) under uncultured bacterium. RNAcentral describes it as "partial 16S ribosomal RNA". It matches the Rfam family "Bacterial small subunit ribosomal RNA", at positions 524 to 776 of the family's 1533-position model. The record is from RNAcentral.